Musa acuminata AAA Group (dessert banana) is the source of this 1253-nucleotide RNA transcript. RefSeq lists it as uncharacterized. The record is from RefSeq and is a predicted model, not a curated record. The transcript is spliced from 4 exons. Lineage: Eukaryota; Viridiplantae; Streptophyta; Magnoliopsida; Zingiberales; Musaceae.
UCCAUUCAUUUUCCCAAGCUUUCCAGUCGCAAUCAACUCGGUCCGUCUCCUCCUCCUCGUCGGCCGCUUCCCCGCCUUGAUCUCCCUCCAGCGUCGGGAUCAGGGCUGAGAUGCCGGGCGACGACCAGCCCUCGCGGCUUUUCUACGAGCUAUGCGCCCUCCUCCUCGCGGUCCUCCACACCCCCCACCUCGCCCUCCCGCCCUCCGAUGCCGACGCCUCCCCGCCAGCGCCGGCACCGACGAGGCAGGCGCGGCCCCGGGCCCAGAUGUCGCCGGCAGGGUUCGCCUCGCUCCUCCUCGGGGCGUCGUUGGCGCUCAUGCUCUGCGGCUCCGUCACGUUCGUGAUCGGGUUCAUCAUGAUGCCCUGGGUGGUCGGGCUCGUCAUGCUCUUCUACUUCGUGGGGAUCCUCUCGAAUCUGUCUGGGCUGGGUAGGGCUAUCGUUUAUCCCGGUAGCGACCCCUCGAGCCCCAAGGAAACGUCAGGGUUCUUGAUAGGCUAUUCUUCUGAAAUGAUUGCAACACAUUUGUUGAAUGGCCACACCUUUUUUGGAAGCCACAUGCCUGUUUUUCCCCAAUUUUUUCUUACCCAAGGGUGACGAUCUGUCGUAAUUGAGGAAAGAUGAGAUAAGAACCUGAUGAUUCAAGUCACGAGACAUUUGCUGAUCGGCCUGCUUUCGGCUCUUAGAUAUCACCUCAGGUGCUCACUGAUUUCUAAACUUCCAAUUAUCUAAUCGCCAAGCUGCUAACAGAAUAGUUUGCGAUAGACUUUUGGAGGUAGGAACAAUCUACUCUGCCACGAUCAUCUUAAUUCUCCCAUUCAAUGCCAGUUCGAUGGCUGCUCUUGUUUCAACAUUCUUUCUUCUGAUACCAUGUACCAGUUGUUGUUCUUUGGCUGCUUUUGCGGACCGCUGUCAUUGCAGAGUUUCAAAUAUUAUUAGUUGAAAACAUAUCAAGAUUCUGAUGUUCCUUUGGGAUGGUCAUCUCUACAGGAGGCUUGAUAGGGGCAGCCAUUGCUUGAACUUUAGACGCCAGAGAGAGAGAGAGAGAGAGAGAUUGUGUUCUCACUAACUGAAGCAGUGUAUUUAAUGCUUCUGCAUCACCAAUUACAAUUAUAUGUCCUACACAGUAACUUGGCCUGAAACAAAACCAUCUAUUCCUGACCUAUAACACAACCUCUGUGAUUAACCUGUUUUUGGUCUGUUAAUAAUGUGUGCUUUGAUCUCUUUGAUAUAUAGCUACAAAAGAUUUUCUGA